RNAcentral lists this long non-coding RNA (203 nucleotides) under Nicotiana benthamiana. RNAcentral describes it as "long non-coding RNA (NBEN_LNC016091)". Lineage: Eukaryota; Viridiplantae; Streptophyta; Magnoliopsida; Solanales; Solanaceae. The record is from RNAcentral.
UUCUUUUGAAAAGAGAGGUUUCGCCCCUUCCGGCUCUUCUCCUCCAUGCUUCAGUUGCCGAGUAUGAUUUGGUAUAGUUUCAAAGUUUUAAGCUGGAGCCUCACGUCACGGAACGAAUGUUUUGUUUUCAAAUCAGCUUCGAAGAAUGGCCGGGAAUCGUCUUCCUAAAAAGAAGAGUCUUCGUUUGAAAAAAUAUAGUUUUC